GGAUUAGGUCCUAUGUGAGAAGUGUCAUCUACAAAAUCUCACUUUCUCAACCUUGCCUUGUUAUAGCAACCAGACCCUCUACAUACACAAGGGAAAACCUUGGCUGAAAGAAGCUCUUUUGAGUUAUUUUAAAAGAUGGCUGCCCAAAACAUUUUUUAAAUUUAAUUUAAAAAGCAUUUUUGGCAUUGUUGGAUGGCAAUAAACCCUGUUAGAUACAUUUUGUACUCCAGGCUAUACGGUGCUGGUUUUCCACCCUGUUACAGCUCACUUGACAGCUGAUACUUAAUUUUGUUUUAGUUAAUCCAGUAAAACUGGACUUUGAUCCCCACUGGUGUGUAAGCACGGCAAGAGCUUUGCUGAUAUAGUACUUAUUAGAUUUCUGUUGUUGCCAAUCUAAGCAAAUUCUGUUCUCAGAUCUCAGCCUUAGAGGUGGUGAGGAAGGCUCUGCUUGGUUUUAUCACUUCUUGUAAAACUAUGUGGACUACAUUAAAAAUAUAAGUAGAUAGCUGUUCAGAGCUGUAUAUUUUAUUUUAUAUUAUAUAAUAGGUCAGGCAACCUUUGACAGGAGACAAAUUUGAGAGGAUUUUGAACACAAUACAGGAUUCCUUUUCAAGGACUUGACCUACCAAGGCCCAAUAAGACUGACGCAUGACUUCUGGGAAUAAAUCAGUCAUGUGAUGAAAGAGGCUGUUGUCUGUAAGGCUCCUGCCUCGUUUGUUACACAAGCUUGGGAAAGGCAAGUCUGGGCCUGCCCAAAAUUAAAGGCCCUUGUCCACAACUAAGAGAAGGCAGUUCUGGGUCACUAUAAACCACGGGUCACAGAUUCCUGAAGGGAAGAACCACAGGAACCCAAACCCACUCAGACCUGCUGGGAAGGCACAGCUGAUCCACAGGGUACUACAGCCCAGUACCUGGUCUGAAGAAAGGAGAAUUGUGUGAUUCUACCCUAAAGACAGGUAAGGGAACAAGACCUGAUACCAUUAAGAGUGCACUUGAACAAAUCAGAGAUUCAGCUAGCCCUGUAACCGUGAAUAUACAUACAUACUACCUAUAUGGUCCACUGCCUGGAGGGUUUGGCCAUUCAUUGUGAUAGUAGGCUCUACAUAAGGCUUUC
This is a non-coding RNA of Chrysemys picta bellii (western painted turtle), 1114 nucleotides long. The record is from RefSeq and is a predicted model, not a curated record. NCBI's taxonomy places the organism in Eukaryota, Metazoa, Chordata, Testudines, Emydidae.